RNAcentral lists this ribosomal RNA (169 nucleotides) under uncultured eukaryote. RNAcentral describes it as "partial small subunit ribosomal RNA". It matches the Rfam family "Eukaryotic small subunit ribosomal RNA", at positions 1662 to 1828 of the family's 1831-position model. The record is from RNAcentral.
GUACACACCGCCCGUCGCUAGUACCGAUUGAAUGGCUUAGUGAGACCUCCGGAUUUGCAUUUCUUUGGGGGCAACCUCAUCGUUUCGCGGAAAAGCUGGUCAAACUUGGUCAUUUAGAGGAACUAAAAGUCGUAACAAGGUAACCGUAGGUGAACCUGCAGAAGGAUCA